Molecule: non-coding RNA, 167 nt
Filed under: Brevibacillus massiliensis
Lineage: Bacteria; Bacillati; Bacillota; Bacilli; Caryophanales; Paenibacillaceae
Source: RNAcentral
CACCGCGAGGUGGAAUCUGAAGGAAGCUGGAGGCAAAUGCUCGACCCAAGGUACACGAACCCAAUUUGAGGCUAGGAUAGUCGGAUGAGCCUGCAAGACAAGGCGAAGUCCAAAGCCGCCAAGGGCUAUCUUAGUAAACUUGGGUGGGUACAUGAGCAGAAAGAUGA